GCCACCUUAUUUUAUAUUAUAUCUAAAACUAAGCAUUCUGGGUGUUCUCGGUUCUGGGGACGGUACAGUCACUCCAUUUUCCCAGAAGCACAGGGCCCUAACGCUGCUUUUUUUCAUACGUCAUCAUAACAGAAAGGAUGUGUACAGGCUUGCUAGGCCUUUUCUACUGUAUGGAAAGCCAUAAGUGAAUAGGAAGGCAUCUUAGAAAAUCAGUUACUUAUUUUUGUUUUGUUUUUUAAAACUUGAAAAGAUACAUCCCUGCCAACAAUUUUCUGUUUCCCUUCUUUCAAGAUGAUGUAAGGAAAGAACCAUGGCUUCAGAGAAAGGACAAUAAAGACGGCUCUGGGAGUUUGCGUGUUUUUGCUAAGGUCAGAGGUUAACAUCGAGUGUUUCUCAAUCGGUCUCCACCUUACAUUGUAAGACAUGAUGUGUCACUGAACCUGGAGCUCACAGAUUCGAUUAGACUGGGUAGCCAUCAAGCCACAGAGAUCCUCCCAUCUCUGCCUCCCCAGCAAUGGUAUUACAGGAAUUUAACACCAUGCUCAGGUGUGUGUGCCUGAGUUGCAAGUGCCCACUGAGUCCAGAAGAAGGUGUUGGAUCCCCUGGAACUG
This is a non-coding RNA of Cricetulus griseus (Chinese hamster), 611 nucleotides long. Lineage: Eukaryota; Metazoa; Chordata; Mammalia; Rodentia; Cricetidae. The record is from RefSeq and is a predicted model, not a curated record.